This 3059-nucleotide ribosomal RNA is filed under the name Streptomyces sp. WM6391. Its description in RNAcentral is "bacterial LSU rRNA". It matches the Rfam family "Bacterial large subunit ribosomal RNA". Lineage: Bacteria; Bacillati; Actinomycetota; Actinomycetes; Kitasatosporales; Streptomycetaceae. The record is from RNAcentral.
ACAGUGGACGCGAGCAUCUGUGGCCAAGUUUUUAAGGGCGCACGGUGGAUGCCUUGGCACCAGGAACCGAUGAAGGACGUGGGAGGCCACGAUAGGCCCCGGGGAGUCGUCAACCAGGCUUUGAUCCGGGGGUGUCCGAAUGGGGAAACCCGGCAGUCGUCAUGGGCUGUCACCCGCUGCUGAACACAUAGGCAGUGUGGAGGGAACGCGGGGAAGUGAAACAUCUCAGUACCCGCAGGAAGAGAAAACAACCGUGAUUCCGGGAGUAGUGGCGAGCGAAACCGGAUGAGGCCAAACCGUAUACGUGUGAGACCCGGCAGGGGUUGCGUGUGCGGGGUUGUGGGAUCUCUCUUUUACGGUCUGCCGGCCGUGAGACGAGUCAGAAACCGUUGAUGUAGGCGAAGGACAUGCGAAAGGUCCGGCGUAGAGGGUAAGACCCCCGUAGUCGAAACGUCAACGGCUCGUUUGAGAGACACCCAAGUAGCACGGGGCCCGAGAAAUCCCGUGUGAAUCUGGCGGGACCACCCGCUAAGCCUAAAUAUUCCCUGGUGACCGAUAGCGGAUAGUACCGUGAGGGAAUGGUGAAAAGUACCGCGGGAGCGGAGUGAAAUAGUACCUGAAACCGUGUGCCUACAAGCCGUGGGAGCGUCGGNNNNNNNNNNNNNNNNNNGUGGGGAAGCCGUAGCGAAAGCGAGUCCGAAUAGGGCGUUUUUAGUAGCACGCUCAAGACCCGAAGCGGAGUGAUCUAGCCAUGGGCAGGUUGAAGCGGCUGUAAGAGGUCGUGGAGGACCGAACCCACCAGGGUUGAAAACCUGGGGGAUGACCUGUGGUUAGGGGUGAAAGGCCAAUCAAACUCCGUGAUAGCUGGUUCUCCCCGAAAUGCAUUUAGGUGCAGCGUCGUGUGUUUCUUGCCGGAGGUAGAGCACUGGAUAGGCGAUGGGCCCUACCGGGUUACUGACCUUAGCCAAACUCCGAAUGCCGGUAAGUGAGAGCGCGGCAGUGAGACUGUGGGGGAUAAGCUCCAUGGUCGAGAGGGAAACAGCCCAGAGCAUCGACUAAGGCCCCUAAGCGUACGCUAAGUGGGAAAGGAUGUGGAGUCGCACAGACAACCAGGAGGUUGGCUUAGAAGCAGCCACCCUUGAAAGAGUGCGUAAUAGCUCACUGGUCUAGUGAUUCCGCGCCGACAAUGUAGCGGGGCUCAAGCGUACCGCCGAAGUCGUGUCAUUGCAGCAAUACGGCCAACGCCGGCUGUGAUGGGUAGGGGAGCGUCGUGUGCCGGGUGAAGCAGCCGCGGAAGCGAGUUGUGGACGGUUCACGAGUGAGAAUGCAGGCAUGAGUAGCGAUACAAACGUGAGAAACGUUUGCGCCGAUUGACUAAGGGUUCCUGGGUCAAGCUGAUCUGCCCAGGGUAAGUCGGGACCUAAGGCGAGGCCGACAGGCGUAGUCGAUGGAUAACCGGUUGAUAUUCCGGUACCCGCUGUGAAGCGUCAAACAUCGAGCAUCGUGAUGCUAAGGCCGUGAAGCCGCCCUGAUCUCUUCGGAGUUGAGGGGAGUGGUGGAGCCGCCGAACCAAGCGGUUAGUAGGUGAGUGAUGGGGUGACGCAGGAAGGUAGUCCAUCCCGGGCGGUGGUUGUCCCGGGGUAAGGGUGUAGGNNNNNNNNNCUGAGACCUGAUGCCGAGCCGAUUGUGGUGAAGUGGAUGAUCCUAUGCUGUCGAGAAAAGCCUCUAGCGAGUUUCAUGGCGGCCCGUACCCUAAACCGACUCAGGUGGUCAGGUAGAGAAUACCGAGGCGUUCGGGUGAACUAUGGUUAAGGAACUCGGCAAAAUGCCCCCGUAACUUCGGGAGAAGGGGGGCCACACCUGGUGACGAGUUUUGCACUCUGAGCUGGGGGUGGCCGCAGAGACCAGCGAGAAGCGACUGUUUACUAAAAACACAGGUCCGUGCGAAGCCGUAAGGCGAUGUAUACGGACUGACGCCUGCCCGGUGCUGGAACGUUAAGGGGACCGGUUAGUCACAUUUCGGUGUGGCGAAGCUGAGAACUUAAGCGCCAGUAAACGGCGGUGGUAACUAUAACCAUCCUAAGGUAGCGAAAUUCCUUGUCGGGUAAGUUCCGACCUGCACGAAUGGCGUAACGACUUCUCGACUGUCUCAACCAUAGGCCCGGUGAAAUUGCACUACGAGUAAAGAUGCUCGUUUCGCGCAGCAGGACGGAAAGACCCCGGGACCUUUACUACAGUUUGAUAUUGGUGUUCGGUUCGGCUUGUGUAGGAUAGCUGGGAGACUUUGAAGCUCGCACGCCAGUGUGGGUGGAGUCGUCGUUGAAAUACCAGUCUGGUCGUGCUGGAUGUCUAACCUGGGUCCGUGAUCCGGAUCAGGGACAGUGUCUGAUGGGUAGUUUAACUGGGGCGGUUGCCUCCUAAAGAGUAACGGAGGCGCCCAAAGGUUCCCUCAGCCUGGUUGGCAAUCAGGUGUUGAGUGUAAGUGCACAAGGGAGCUUGACUGUGAGACCGACGGGUCGAGCAGGGACGAAAGUCGGGACUAGUGAUCCGGCGGUGGCUUGUGGAAGCGCCGUCGCUCAACGGAUAAAAGGUACCCCGGGGAUAACAGGCUGAUCUUCCCCAAGAGUCCAUAUCGACGGGAUGGUUUGGCACCUCGAUGUCGGCUCGUCGCAUCCUGGGGCUGGAGUCGGUCCCAAGGGUUGGGCUGUUCGCCCAUUAAAGCGGUACGCGAGCUGGGUUUAGAACGUCGUGAGACAGUUCGGUCCCUAUCCGCUGUGCGCGUAGGAGUCUUGAGAAGGGCUGUCCCUAGUACGAGAGGACCGGGACGGACGAACCUCUGGUGUGCCAGUUGUCCUGCCAAGGGCAUGGCUGGUUGGCUACGUUCGGGAGGGAUAACCGCUGAAAGCAUCUAAGCGGGAAGCCUGCUUCGAGAUGAGGACUCCCACCCCCUUGAGGGGUUAAGGCUCCCAGUAGACGACUGGGUUGAUAGGCCGGAUCUGGAAGCACCGUGAGGUGUGGAGGUGACCGGUACUAAUAGGCCGAGGGCUUGUCCUCAGUUG